UUUGAAUCAAUAACGUAAUCUCAUCGAAGGUGUGUUGACUUCGAUGCAUCCGCCAAGGCCUUCAAACCAUGAAGUCAAAAAGCGCCGCACAGGACGCCGCCGCGGGCUAUGCACCGCAAAUUGUGGUCACUCACUCACUUACGGACGACCUUUGUAGGACACAAGCGCAGUAGGCUGCUGAUUGAAAGGAAACCAGAAAUACUUGCGGAUUGACGCGCCUGAUGGUAGUACAUACUACAUAGAUUCAGUGGAAAUCCAGAGGACAAUGACUAUUACUACUCAUCACUGGGCAUAUCCAAUAGUUCUUCUUCGUUUUUAGUUGGGUAAUUGAAGACAGUAAAACCAUUUACUUUGCAAAUCAAAGCAAUUGGGCUUCAUUUCUAAACUAAAAAAAACCUUCACUUUUUCUUUGGCUCGCUCUUUUUGUUGUUGUUGUUUUGUUAAUAUGAAACCUAUUUUUGAUAGGAUGGAUUGAAAUUGAUGAAAUAAGUGUCAGGCCUGCUUCGUAUGAUCAAAAGAGAAACAAAGUGUCUUAAAAUUUUACUGUGGAAAAGUUUUACCACACACACCUACGCACGAGACUUUAGCUCCUAUUGUCGAUAUAAUCUCUGUACGACUGAAUGACUCAAUACUUUAUGUGUAGUGGUUCUUAAAGACUAAAAAUAGUACACCAGUUCUCUUAUGUUGUCAGAAAGGGUUUGCUCUUGCUCUUGUUUUUAAUGUAAAGGGCUCCUCCCUCAAAGAAGCUGAUGCUAUUUUUUUUUUUUUUCUUGACAGAAGGUCCAUAUUUGGGGACUAUGCAAACAUCAGAAUAAAUAAAAAAUCCCUGCUGUUGAAAAUAGGUGUGGAUAUCUGACAUUCCAACUGCUUUCCUCUCCUGAGAUAAAUGUCUCUGCAGAUUGGAGUGCAAACCUAACCAAAGUGGCGUGUGUGUGUCUUGCAACGUUGAUCUUUGUAAGAAACCAUUUACAUGCAUACCUUACUUCAAACUUGCUCAAUCCUUAAUCCAAAUUUUUUUGUAAAUGAAAGAUUUGGGAAUUAUGUUUAAUUUCUAUCCUAUCCCAGUGAAAGCUAUAACAAGAAAAUACUUGUGUGUAGUGUACACUAAUACCUGAAUAUAUGUGUACGAUUGCAGAAAGAAAUUGUAUUCUUGUUAUUCAUUAAGACCACAAUGAGGUUAUAUACUAAAUAUACAAAAUAUUAAAAUAAAUUUAAUUGGUGCCUUUUUAGAACUGGUAUUUCAUAUGUAUGUAAGUUUAAUUGAUUUUAUUCAUAUUUUAAUUAGUGAGAAAUGAUUGUGCAGAUGGACUGCUCAGGGAAAUUAUAUCGGUUUUAUACAAGGAAAAAUAUGUGUGACAAGUUGUGGUCUGGAAAGAUUACAGAGCUUUCAGAAAAUGUCUUUGUGCACAAACUCA
Anguilla anguilla (European eel) is the source of this 1415-nucleotide long non-coding RNA. RefSeq lists it as uncharacterized. The record is from RefSeq and is a predicted model, not a curated record. The transcript has 3 exons. NCBI's taxonomy places the organism in Eukaryota, Metazoa, Chordata, Actinopteri, Anguilliformes, Anguillidae.